Molecule: ribosomal RNA, 655 nt
Filed under: uncultured bacterium
Lineage: Bacteria
Description: bacterial SSU rRNA
Rfam family: Bacterial small subunit ribosomal RNA
Source: RNAcentral
AGAGUUUGAUCAUGGCUCAGAACGAACGCUGGCGGUAUGCCUAACACAUGCAAGUCGAACGCGAACGGAAUCUUCGGAUUCCAAGUAGAGUGGCGCACGGGUGAGUAACACGUGGAUAAUCUGCCCUAAGGUCAGGGAUAACACUUCGAAAGGGGUGCUAAUACCGGAUAAGCUCACGCCUUCUUUGGAGGAAGUGAGAAAAGAUUUAUUGCCUUAGGAUGAGUCCGCGGUCCAUUAGCUAGUUGGUGGGGUAACGGCCUACCAAGGCUGCGAUGGAUAGCUGGUCUGAGAGGAUGAUCAGCCACACUGGAACUGAGACACGGUCCAGACUCCUACGGGAGGCAGCAGUGGGGAAUUUUGCGCAAUGGGGGAAACCCUGACGCAGCAAUACCGCGUGAAGGAUGAAGGCCCUUGGGUCGUAAACUUCUGUCAGAGGGGAAGAAAUACUCGCAAGAGUGCUGACGGUACCCUCAAAGGAAGCACCGGCUAACUCCGUGCCAGCAGCCGCGGUAAUACGGAGGGUGCAAGCGUUGUUCGGAAUUAUUGGGCGUAAAGAGCAUGUAGGCGGACUGUUAAGUCUGGUGUGAAAGCCCGGGGCUCAACCCCGGAAGUGCAUUGGAUACUGGCAGUCUUGAGUAUGGGAGAGGGAAGUGGA